AUAACAGCGAGUAAUCAUCGUUUACGGCAUGGACUACCAGGGUAUCUAAUCCUGUUCGCUACCCAUGCUUUCGUGCAUCAGCGUCAGUUAUUGGCCAGUACAAUGCCUUCGCUAUCGGUGUUCCUGAUGGUAUCUAUGCAUUUCACCGCUACACCAUCAAUUCCAUGUACCCCUCCAAUACUCAAGCCAACCAGUAUCAAUGGCAAUUUCUGGGUUGAGCCCAAAACUUUCACCACUGACUUAAUCAGCCGCCUACGCACCCUUUAAACCCAAUAAAUCCGGACAACGCUUGCACCCUCCGUAUUACCGCGGCUGCUGGCACGGAGUUAGCCGGUGCUUAUUCAUCUGGUACCGGCAAUGUCCCACGCAUGGGCCUUUUCUUCCCAGAUAAAAGCAGUUUACAACGCAGAACGCCGUCUUCCUGCACGCGGCAUGGCUGGGUCAGACUCUCGUCCAUUGCCCAAUAUUCCCUACUGCUGCCUCCCGUAGG
RNAcentral lists this ribosomal RNA (490 nucleotides) under uncultured Flexibacter sp. RNAcentral describes it as "partial 16S ribosomal RNA". The record is from RNAcentral. Lineage: Bacteria; Pseudomonadati; Bacteroidota; Cytophagia; Cytophagales; Flexibacteraceae.